Long non-coding RNA from Coregonus clupeaformis (lake whitefish), 943 nucleotides. RefSeq lists it as uncharacterized. The record is from RefSeq and is a predicted model, not a curated record. The transcript has 3 exons. Lineage: Eukaryota; Metazoa; Chordata; Actinopteri; Salmoniformes; Salmonidae.
GGAUCUUGGUGCGCUAGACAGAAGGCCAGUAGUUAAAGUCACUUUGAGUCAUGGUAUGUAGAACAUCUUCAUUCCUACGACCUAUCAUCUACACAAGUUAGCCUGUCUGUCCAAUUGCAAUCUGAGCUCAACGACACUGUCACCCUUUCUGCAUACAACAUUGUUGGCCAGCUGCUGUUGACCCCAAGAGGUUCAUUCGAGUGAGACAGAGUUGAAAAUGUUAUGCAAUGGCAGCUGCAGCUCCUCAAGCAUGAUACUUUGCGUUGUUGAUGCUGACCAUACAAGGAAGAUAAACCUAAGUUCCAGCAUAUGUUGAUGACUUGAUAAACAUUUUGAAGGACAAGUUUGAGUUUGACGACGACCUCCGCUUGCUGUAUGAUGACCCUGACUUUGACUGACAACUUACCUGCUUGAUGGACAUUGAGGAGUUGCAACAAAAGGCACCACUGCACCUUAUAGUGGAAGGGGGAGAUACAAGUUCUACAGCUCUUGUUAUGAAACACCCCUGUCAGAAAGAGGCAGGAUCUGACACUGGGUGGAAUGGAUGGAAGAACAGCAUCAAAUUCAAGAUGGGUAACUACAGAACCAAGUUGAGGAGCGCAGGAUGCCAGGAGGUCUCCGUAAACACAGGAAAAAGAAGAAGAAGCAAUUCAGAGAAUGAACCACCGCACUCAAACAUAAAGCUGGCUGAAGUUAACUUUCUGCCACACUCCCCCCUUGGACAGGACGUGGGGAGUCUUGAAACGCUGAAGCAGGAAAUGGUCCAAGAACUUCAGAAGAUGGAAAGGAACUUACCCCUGAUCGAUAGGAAGAUGCAGACCACAUUCGCCCUGCGGCGCCAGGGUAUAGUCACCGACACUCCAACUGUAAAGGAGUUCCUUGAUCUCUGGCCUGCUCUGCGCACGGAGACGCAGAUAAAACUGCAAUGCUGUUUUUACACAAA